GAGAGCCACGGGCUCUGGGCUGCGGAGGAGGUUGGAGGUGACCUUCCAGAAGGAACUUGGGACAAGGGAGCCAGUGAGCACCUGGUAGGUAGUGGUUACUCUCUGAGGAGCCAGCAUCAGGCCAGCAGCACCAGCCAAAUAGAAGGGGGGAGAAGUGGCCUCCAGCUUCCCAGUUUGGGCUUGGGCCAAGACGACAAAGAAAAGGGUCCACCUUCUUCCCUCCAGGUCAGAUGACCCUGAACUGUAUCAAGUAGAAAAAUGUCUAACCAGGACAGAGGAAGAUACGAACCCUCGAAGCUCAUAGACGGGUGGUGAUGUGGUUUCCAACUGACUUUCAAGCAAACAGAUUUCCAAGCGUGCUUGAAGAGGGAAGCAAAUGAGAAGGCAGGAGGCUCUUACUCUAUGGAAGAAUGAUCAGAACAGUAUAGCUGCCUUCUUGGCCUGUCAUGGAAUUAAAUGGCAAAGGGUUCUGAGGACUAUCUGGCACAUACCGCUAUCACUACAGGGGAGUGGUCUCUAAGAGGGAUAACCAGACCCCUAAUGAGGCAAGCACGUCAUUUUCUGUGACAGAUACAAGAGAGGUUUGCUGGAAAUCGUGGCUGACCACCUCAGAAGCAUCCAAAAGACCUGAACUUUCUGGUUUUGCCUUUCACCUUGCUCUGAAACUUUUCCCAACACUGGAAGACAAGAAAGUCCCCACCCCCACCCUGUCCCAUCCCUGGGCCGGGGAGACUCUUCUCAUUGGGCAAGCAGGCUUGCUGGGCAAACGUGAGCCCCUGAGUUCCCAUCCCCAUAGAAAGCUGGACAUGGACAUGCAUGCCUGUUUCUGCAGUAUGGUCAACUCUGGGAGCUCUCUGGUCUCCUAUAAAUAAAGGAUAGCACAUUCAGCCUUCUUACCAUUUC
This 903-nucleotide long non-coding RNA is filed under the name Mus pahari (shrew mouse). RNAcentral's name for it is "lncRNA (MGP_PahariEiJ_G0005295.1)". The record is from RNAcentral. Lineage: Eukaryota; Metazoa; Chordata; Mammalia; Rodentia; Muridae.